RNAcentral lists this ribosomal RNA (250 nucleotides) under uncultured bacterium. Its description in RNAcentral is "partial 16S ribosomal RNA". It matches the Rfam family "Bacterial small subunit ribosomal RNA", at positions 524 to 773 of the family's 1533-position model. The record is from RNAcentral.
UACGUAGGAUGCAAGCGUUGUCCGGAAUUAUUGGGCGUAAAGAGCGCGCAGGCGGUUUUACAAGUCAGAUGUGAAAGAGGCCGGCUUAACCGGCAAGGGUCAUUUGAAACUGUGAGACUAGAGUACAGCAGAGGAUAGCGGAAUUCCCGGUGUAGUGGUGAAAUGCGUAGAUAUCGGGAGGAACACCAGUGGCGAAGGCGGCUAUCUGGGCUGAAACUGACGCUGAGGCGCGAAGGCUAGGGUAGCAAAC